RNAcentral lists this non-coding RNA (190 nucleotides) under Pelagibacterium sp. The record is from RNAcentral. Lineage: Bacteria; Pseudomonadati; Pseudomonadota; Alphaproteobacteria; Hyphomicrobiales; Devosiaceae.
CAUCUUGCCUGCGUCCACGGUCCCCGCGAGGGGAUAACAGGGAAUCCGGUGCGGGUGAAAAUCCCUAGUCCGGAGCUGCCCCCGCAACUGUCGGCGGAGACGGAUAUCCAUUGCCACUGGCGCCAGCCGGGAAGGCGGAUGUCCGGUUCGAUCCGCGAGCCAGGAGACCUACCGUGGAAUUGCGUUUCAC